UACGUAGGGGGCUAGCGUUGUCCGGAAUCAUUGGGCGUAAAGAGCGUGUAGGCGGCCCGGUAAGUCCGCUGUGAAAGUCGGGGGCUCAACCCUCGAAUGCCGGUGGAUACUGUCGGGCUAGAGUGCGGAAGAGGCGAGUGGAAUUCCUGGUGUAGCGGUGAAAUGCGCAGAUAUCAGGAGGAACACCAAUGGCGAAGGCAGCUCACUGGGACGGUAUUGACGCUGAGGUGCGAAAGCGUGGGGAGCAACAGG
RNAcentral lists this ribosomal RNA (252 nucleotides) under uncultured bacterium. RNAcentral's name for it is "partial 16S ribosomal RNA". It matches the Rfam family "Bacterial small subunit ribosomal RNA", at positions 524 to 775 of the family's 1533-position model. The record is from RNAcentral.